This 267-nucleotide unclassified non-coding RNA is filed under the name Hevea brasiliensis (rubber tree). Lineage: Eukaryota; Viridiplantae; Streptophyta; Magnoliopsida; Malpighiales; Euphorbiaceae. The record is from RNAcentral.
GGGGAAAGCUUAAUUUUUUAUCUGGUGGCUCAGCUGAAUGCCAUUAACAAGUUCUGAUCGUCAGUAGCCGCUGAAACUGGCCCUCUCCGCUUGAAUACUUCUAUGCACCCACAAGACAUAAGCAGUACUCUCCAGUCUCCAGACCAACAACAACUAGUCUCUGCUGAAACAGAACUCAUAUCACCUCACCAAGUGGUGAUAUGGUAAGAAGUAAUACUACACAUUCUCAUAACUACACACCAUGACUGCAAAAGGGGAAGAAAAAAA